AGCUUUGCACAUUGACAGUAUCAUAGCCAAUGAGAUUUUUCCGAGGCACGAUUACUGCUAAUUAAAAACUAAAUAAAAAUAUACAGGUUAAUAUAUAAACUAUUUUUCAGAAA
This is a small nuclear RNA of Ursus thibetanus thibetanus, 113 nucleotides long. Its record names the gene U4. It matches the Rfam family "U4 spliceosomal RNA". From Rfam's summary of the family: U4 small nuclear RNA (U4 snRNA) is a component of the major U2-dependent spliceosome. The structure of U4 snRNA from yeast and human has been reported. Lineage: Eukaryota; Metazoa; Chordata; Mammalia; Carnivora; Ursidae. The record is from Ensembl.